GAUGAAGAACGCAGCGAAAUGCGAUAAGUAAUGUGAAUUGCAGAAUUCAGUGAAUCAUCGAAUCUUUGAACGCACCUUGCACCCUUUGGAAUUCCAAAGGGUAUGCUCGUUUGAGUGUCAUUGUACUCUCACACUCUCCGAUCCUUUGGAUUUGGGGAGCGGUGGACUUGGGUGUUUGCUGCUUUCAUUGUGGCUCACCUCAAAUGUGUCAGUGCAUCUCUUGAUUGGACAUAGUACGGCGUGAUAGGUGUCUUCGCCGGCACCUCAUAAGAGGGUGGCCGAUCAGGAGCUCUGUGCUUUCAAACUGUCUUCGGACAAUCUCUGACAACUUGACCUCAAAUCGAGUAGGACUACCCGCUGAACUUAAGCAUAUCAAUAAGCGGAGGA
RNAcentral lists this unclassified non-coding RNA (387 nucleotides) under soil metagenome. RNAcentral describes it as "partial contains 5.8S ribosomal RNA, internal transcribed spacer 2, and large subunit ribosomal RNA". The stretch from base 1 to 120 matches the Rfam family "5.8S ribosomal RNA", at positions 35 to 154 of the family's 154-position model. The record is from RNAcentral.